GUGAAUUUCUAUGAUGGUAAAGAUGUAUUGCAACCAAAUGCAAUGAUCUCAUUACCACCAAAAGAAGGCGACGACUACAGUCGUUUCCAUCAUUUAUUAGACAAGAGAGAUGACGAUUUUGUCAUAGACAAACGACAUUUUAGUGCAUUUGUAGGAACAGAUUUGGACUUACAAUUGCGACGUCGAGGAAUUGAUACGAUUGUUCUUGGUGGUGUCGCAACGCAUAUUGGUGUAGAUACGACAGCACGAGACGCCUAUCAAUUAAACUACGAUCAGUAUUUUGUUACUGACAUGAUGAGCGCUCAAAACGAAACGCUACAUCAAUUCCCAAUAGAUAAUUUAUUCCCAUUGAUGGGACAAACAAUAACUACAAACGACUUUCUAAA
RNAcentral lists this small RNA (386 nucleotides) under Staphylococcus aureus. Its description in RNAcentral is "HMPRFS0000_0194". Lineage: Bacteria; Bacillati; Bacillota; Bacilli; Caryophanales; Staphylococcaceae. The record is from RNAcentral.